AAAAGUGAAAGACGGUCUUGCUGUCACUUAUAGAUGGAUCCGCGCUGCAUUAGCUAGUUGGUAAGGUAACGGCUUACCAAGGCAACGAUGCAUAGCCGACCUGAGAGGGUGAUCGGCCACACUGGAACUGAGACACGGUCCAGACUCCUACGGGAGGCAGCAGUAGGGAAUCUUCCGCAAUGGGCGAAAGCCUGACGGAGCAACGCCGCGUGAGUGAUGAAGGUCUUCGGAUCGUAAAACUCUGUUAUUAGGGAAGAACAUAUGUGUAAGUAACUGUGCACAUCUUGACGGUACCUAAUCAGAAAGCCACGGCUAACUACGUGCCAGCAGCCGCGGUAAUACGUAGGUGGCAAGCGUUAUCCGGAAUUAUUGGGCGUAAAGCGCGCGUAGGCGGUUUUUUAAGUCUGAUGUGAAAGCCCACGGCUCAACCGUGGAGGGUCAUUGGAAACUGGAAAACUUGAGUGCAGAAGAGGAAAGUGGAAUUCCAUGUGUAGCGGUGAAAUGCGCAGAGAUAUGGAGGAACACCAGUGGCGAAGGCGACUUUCUGGUCUGUAACUGACGCUGAUGUGCGAAAGCGUGGGGAUCAAACAGGAUUAGAUACCCUGGUAGUCCACGCCGUAAACGAUGA
This 628-nucleotide ribosomal RNA is filed under the name Staphylococcus aureus. RNAcentral describes it as "bacterial SSU rRNA". It matches the Rfam family "Bacterial small subunit ribosomal RNA", at positions 196 to 812 of the family's 1533-position model. Lineage: Bacteria; Bacillati; Bacillota; Bacilli; Caryophanales; Staphylococcaceae. The record is from RNAcentral.